This 446-nucleotide ribosomal RNA is filed under the name uncultured bacterium. RNAcentral's name for it is "partial 16S ribosomal RNA". It matches the Rfam family "Bacterial small subunit ribosomal RNA", at positions 338 to 795 of the family's 1533-position model. The record is from RNAcentral.
CCUACGGGUGGCAGCAGUCGAGAAUCAUUCACAAUGGGGGAAACCCUGAUGGUGCGACGCCGCGUGGGGGAAUGAAGGUCUUCGGAUUGUAAACCCCUGUCAUGUGGGAGCAAAUUAAAAAGAUAGUACCACAAGAGGAAGAGACGGCUAACUCUGUGCCAGCAGCCGCGGUAAUACAGAGGUCUCAAGCGUUGUUCGGAAUCACUGGGCGUAAAGCGUGCGUAGGCUGUUUCGUAAGUCGUGUGUGAAAGGCGCGGGCUCAACCCGCGGACGGCACAAGAUACUGCGAGACGAGAGGAAUGGAGGGGGAACCGGAAUUCUCGGUGUAGCAGUGAAAUGCGUAGAUAUCGAGAGGAACACUCGUGGCGAAGGCGGGUUCCUGGACAUUAACUGACGCUGAGGCACGAAGGCCAGGGGAGCGAAAGGGAUUAGAUACCCCAGUAGUC